Molecule: ribosomal RNA, 465 nt
Filed under: uncultured bacterium
Lineage: Bacteria
Description: partial 16S ribosomal RNA
Rfam family: Bacterial small subunit ribosomal RNA
Source: RNAcentral
CCUACGGGUGGCUGCAGUGGGGAAUAUUGCGCAAUGGGCGAAAGCCUGACGCAGCGACGCCGCGUGAGGGAUGAAGGUCUUCGGAUCGUAAACCUCUGUCAGCAGGGAAGAACGGUCACUGUGCUAAUCAGCAGUGAAUUGACGGUACCUGCAAAGGCAGCACCGGCUAACUCCGUGCCAGCAGCCGCGGUAAUACGGAGGGUGCGAGCGUUAAUCGGAAUUACUGGGCGUAAAGCGCUCGUAGGCGGUAUGUCAAGUCAAGGGUGAAAUCCCCGCGCGCAACGUGGGAACUGCCUUUGAUACUGGCAAGCUGGAGUGUGUGAGAGGAUAGUGGAAUUCCAGGUGUAGGAGUGAAAUCCGUAGAUAUCGGGAGGAACAUCAGUGGCGAAGGCGACUAUCUGGAACAUAACUGACGCUGAGGAGCGAAAGCGUGGGUAGCAAACAGGAUUAGAUACCCUUGUAGUC